Molecule: ribosomal RNA, 30 nt
Filed under: Solanum crinitum
Lineage: Eukaryota; Viridiplantae; Streptophyta; Magnoliopsida; Solanales; Solanaceae
Source: RNAcentral
CCCCUGGGAAGUCCUCGUGUUUGCAUCCCU